UACAGAGGGGGCAAGCGUUAUUCGGAAUUAUUGGGCGUAAAGGGCGCGUAGGCGGCCUGGCAAGUGGAAGGUGAAAUCCCUCGGCUUAACCGAGGAACUACCUCCCAAACUGCUUGGCUCGAGUCCGGAAGAGGCGAGUGGAAUUCCCGGUGUAGCGGUGAAAUGCGCAGAUAUCGGGAGGAACACCAAUGGCGAAGGCAGCUCGCUGGGACGUGACUGACGCUGAGACGCGAAAGCGUGGGGAGCAAACAGG
This 253-nucleotide ribosomal RNA is filed under the name uncultured bacterium. RNAcentral's name for it is "partial 16S ribosomal RNA". It matches the Rfam family "Bacterial small subunit ribosomal RNA", at positions 524 to 776 of the family's 1533-position model. The record is from RNAcentral.